GACGAACGCUGGCGGCGUGCUUAACACAUGCAAGUCGAACGGAAAGGCCCUGCUUUUGUGGGGUGCUCGAGUGGCGAACGGGUGAGUAACACGUGAGUAACCUGCCCUUGACUUUGGGAUAACUUCAGGAAACUGGGGCUAAUACCGGAUAGGAGCUCCUGCUGCAUGGUGGGGGUUGGAAAGUUUCGGCGGUUGGGGAUGGACUCGCGGCUUAUCAGCUUGUUGGUGGGGUAGUGGCUUACCAAGGCUUUGACGGGUAGCCGGCCUGAGAGGGUGACCGGCCACAUUGGGACUGAGAUACGGCCCAGACUCCUACGGGAGGCAGCAGUGGGGAAUAUUGCAAAAUGGGCGGAAGCCUGAUGCAGCAACGCCGCGUGCGGGAUGACGGCCUUCGGGUUGUAAACCGCUUUCGCCUGUGACGAAGCGUGAGUGACGGUAAUGGGUAAAGAGGCACCGGCUAACUACGUG
RNAcentral lists this ribosomal RNA (468 nucleotides) under uncultured bacterium. Its description in RNAcentral is "partial 16S ribosomal RNA". It matches the Rfam family "Bacterial small subunit ribosomal RNA", at positions 28 to 507 of the family's 1533-position model. The record is from RNAcentral.